RNAcentral lists this ribosomal RNA (460 nucleotides) under uncultured bacterium. RNAcentral's name for it is "partial 16S ribosomal RNA". It matches the Rfam family "Bacterial small subunit ribosomal RNA", at positions 338 to 795 of the family's 1533-position model. The record is from RNAcentral.
CCUACGGGUGGCAGCAGUGAGGAAUAUUGGUCAAUGGUCGGGAGACUGAACCAGCCAAGCCGCGUGAGGGAGGAAGGUACAGAGUAUCGUAAACCUCUUUUGUCAGGGAACAAAGGCGGGGACGUGUCCCCGGAUGAGUGUACCUGAAGAAAAAGCAUCGGCUAACUCCGUGCCAGCAGCCGCGGUAAUACGUAGGGGGCAAGCGUUAUCCGGAUUUACUGGGUGUAAAGGGAGCGUAGACGGUUAUGCAAGUCUGAAGUGAAAGCCCAAGGCUCAACCAUGGGACUGCUUUGGAAACUGUAAAACUGGAGUGCAGGAGAGGUAAGCGGAAUUCCUAGUGUAGCGGUGAAAUGCGUAGAUAUUAGGAGGAACACCAGUGGCGAAGGCGGCUUACUGGACUGUAACUGACGUUGAGGCUCGAAGGCGUGGGGAGCAAACAGGAUUAGAUACCCUAGUAGUC